Dama dama (fallow deer) is the source of this 7101-nucleotide long non-coding RNA. RefSeq lists it as uncharacterized. The record is from RefSeq and is a predicted model, not a curated record. The transcript is spliced from 3 exons. Lineage: Eukaryota; Metazoa; Chordata; Mammalia; Artiodactyla; Cervidae.
UCCGAGUGUGGCGGGAGAUGGGACGGGGAUGAAAAUCUCUGCGUCUGUUCUGGGACGAGAGCACGCAGAGAAAUGGGGAUGGGGGGCAGGUGGGGAGUGGGUGACAGACCCAGCGGCCCUGCAGAAGCCAAGUGGAUCGCGAGGGGUACAAGUCUGAACUUCCUUGACUUUUGGACUAGAGAGUCCCUCGCCUCUCUUACUCAGGACCGUUGUAUUUUUACCCAGCCUGUACUCCGUCUGCUGAGUGGCAUCGCCAGGUGAGCUCAGAUAGUAUAUUUUAAUUGGAUACUCUCUCACCAAUUUAGAAGCUUCAUUUUAGGUUCCUGUCACAAAUUAUGUGUAUUAAUGUUUUAUAAUUGCAUGUGUACUUUAAAUGUUAUUAUAUCCAAAUGAAUAUAUAUGAUUUAAAUUUCAUUAUGUCCAAAUGAAUAUAUGUAGUUCAACAGUUAAGGAUUUGUGCAUAUUCAAGGUAGGAUGUGCCAAAGAGGCCUCAAAAUUGAAUACAUAUGGUUUUUGUUUCCGGUGGUACUUUCUCAUAUAGUGUUCAAUCAUAUUUUAUAAUCUGUAACAUGUUUAAAAAUACAUUGUCUCAUUUCAUUUGACACAUCUUUCCCACAGUGAGGUAACUGACAUUCAAAGAGCUUACAUGAUUAAUUUCGCACAUGUUAAGUAAGUGAAGGAGAGUAUCUUUCCGGUCUAUACCGUUGCAUCUCAGUAUGCUUGCUUCUUUGUGGUAUAGAAAUAAAGUAGAGGGACACCCAGGAAAAUAAAAAGGUAGAACUAAGCCAGUUCUUUCUCUUCUCCUUCAUUCACUAACUUGGAAGAAAACCAGUAAAAAAUAAAGAAAAGAAUUAAUUUUUUGAAGAAUACUUCUGUUCACAAGUAGGCAUUUGUACAACAUAUACCCCAUGUUCUUGUAAAUGAAAUGCAAGUGUGCUUUGUACUGUAUUUGAAUGAACUUUUUGGCCAACCUUGAGUAUGAUGAAACACUAGAAACUUAAAUAGUAGUGCAUACAAAUGAUGUAACAAGUUAAUCUUCCCAUAAAGAAGUAACUUUGGAUCGAUUUUAAAUUUUUUCUAAAUGCAUUUCUGAGCUGGCAUGGAAUCAAGGAAUAUAUGACGCCUCCCCCAACCCCCAAAAUGGAAAGCCAGAACUUUAAGACUCAGUGCUGCUUCAGUGCCAUUACCCUGACGACUUCCCCUGAACUCUGAAGACCUUGAGCUUCUACUCUGACAAACUGCAUGGAGUGGUGUAAACAAGAAAUAAAACCCGCGUCUGCCCAAACAGAGGGAAGUGAAAGGGGCCCUCACUGUAAGCUUGGACUCCCAAGAGCUAAAUCUUAAAUAUAAGGAGAAGUGAAAUCCACCACAAGUCAAAUUCAUGCUACCUGUGCUGGGAAAAUCUUCAAGUGGAAAAUUUAAUUUAUAGCAAUCUCAGGUUGGUGUGCCUGGAAAAUCCCAUGGAUGGAGGAGCCUGGUAGACUGCAGUCCAUGGGGUUGCUAAGAGUCGGACACGACCGAGUGACUUCACUUUCACUUUUCACUUUCAUGCAUUGGAGAAGGAAAUGGCAACCCACUCCAGUGUUCUUGCCUGGAGAAUCCCAGGGGUAGAGGAGCCUGGUGGGCUGCCGUCUAUGGGCUCGCACAAAGUCAGACACGACUGAAGCGACUUAGCAGCCCCAGCAGCAGGUUGGUGUGCUCUGAAUUUACAGGUAAAAACAAGUAUCCAUCCUCUCUGGAUGGCUUCUCUGGUGGCUCAGUGGUAAAGAAUCCGCCUGCCAAUACAGGAGAUUUAGGAGACAUGGGUAUGUCAUCCCUGGGACAGGAAGAUCCCCUGGAGAAGGAAAUGGCCACACUCCAGUAUUCUGAUCUGGGAAAUUCCAUGAGCGAGGAACCUGGCGGUCUACAGUCCAUGGGAUUGCAAAAGAGUCAGACAUAACUUAGUGAGUAAACUAUCACUAUCACCAUCUCCUCUGGAGAAAUUCAUUGUCUACCCAAGCCUUAAAGAAUUUUGGAAGAUAGAGUGUCAAAAAAAAUAAGCUAAUAGUAAAAAUCAGAGAAUACACAAAGGCAACAUGAAUGAGAUAUUUAGAAAUAUAGAUUAUAGAAAUAGGUCUAUAAUAAGUGUAGAUUUUUUUCAAAUAAUCAGGUAUUAUUUAAAAUCACCAUGUUUAAAUGGGGCUUCCCUGGUGGUUCAGACAGUAAAGAAUCUGCCUGCAGUGAGGGAGACCUGGGUUCAAUCCCUAGGUCAGGAAGAUCCCCUGGAUAAGGGAACAGUUAUCCACUCAAGUAUUUUUUCCUAGAGAAUUCCAUGGACAGAAGAGUCUGGUGGGCUAUAGUCUAGUUCAGUUCAGUCACUCAGUUGUGUCUGACUCUUUGCCACCCCAUGGACUGCAGCACACCAGGCUUCCCUGUCCAUCACCAACUUCCAGAGUGUGCUUUAACUCUAAUCAGUGAUGCCAUCCAACCUUCUCAUCUUCUGUCGUCCCCUUCUCCUAUUGCCUUCGAUCUUUCCCAGCAUCAGGGCUUUUUCCAAUGAGUCAGUUCUUUGCAUCAGGUAGCCAAAGUAUUGGAGUUUCAGCUUUAGCAUCAGUUCUUCCAGUGAACAUUCAGGACUGAUUUCCUUUAGGAUUGACUGGCUGGAUCUCCUUGCAGCCCAAGGGACUCUCAAGAAUCUUCUCCAACACCACAGUUGAAAAGCAUCAAUUCUUCAGCACUCAGCUUUCUUUAUGGUCCAACUGUCACAUCCAUACAUGACUACUGGAAAAACCAUAGCUUUGACUAGACUUACUUUUGUCAGCAAAGUAAUGUGUUGCUUUUUAAUAUGCUAUCUAUGUUGGUCAUAGCUUUUCUUCCAAGGAGCAAGCGUUUUUUAACUUCAUGGCUGCAGUCACCAUCUGCAGUGAUUUUGGAGCUCAGAAAAAUAAAGUCUGUCUCUGUUUGCAUUGUUUGCCCAUCUAUUUGCCAUGAAGUGAUGGGACCGGAUGCCAUGAUCUUAGUUUUCUGAAUGUUGAGUUUUAAGCCAACUUUUUCACUCUCCUCUUUCACUUUCAUCAAGAGGCUCUUUAGUUCUUCUUCACUUUGUGCCAUAAAGGUGGUGUCAUCUGCAUAUCUGAAGUUAUUGAUAUUUCUCCCGGCAUUUGUAAUUCCAGCUUGUGCUUCAUCCAGCUCAGCAUUCCAUGGGGUCACAAAGAAUCAGACAGGAGUGAGCAACUAACACUUUCACAUGUUUAAAUAUAAAGACUUAAAAGUAUGAAAAAGAACAAGAAAUUUUAAAGAAUGACCCCAAAGUUUAAAACAUAAUGAAAUAGAAGUUUUAGAAAUCAAAUUAACAACUCGAUGGAUGAAGUGGUUAAUUAUAUCAGCAGAAAAAAAUGAUUAUUGAAUUGAAGAAUCAUUUUAUGUCCUUUUUUUCCUACUUAAUCUCCCAAUACCUCCUUUUCCAUCCUAACUCUUAGCUUCAUACUUUUCUAAAUUGGAAUAAUCAGAACAAUCCACAUCUCUCCACCUACUAGUCUCUGACCCACAUAUUUUGACUUCUGUAGAUUAUCAUAGAUAAACUGCUUGUACUCUUAUCAGAGACCAAUCCCUCCACUUGGAUUUUGGUCCCAUUCCUUCUUUCCAAUUCAAGGACAUGGCUCCAGAAAAUUUUCCCUUUCUCUUCUGGUUCAUUGAUCUUUUUUUUUUUUUUAACCUUCUCUAAUGGACUGUUGUUGUUGCUAAGUCAUGUCUGACUCUCUUUGCGAUCCCGUGGGCUAUAGCCCACCAGGCUCUUCUGUCCAUGGGAUUUCUCAGGCAAGAAUACUGGAGUGGAUUGCCGUUUCCUUCUCCAGGGGAUCUUCCCAAUUCAUGUAUCAAACCUGAGUCUCCUGUAUUGGCAGGUGGAUUCUUUACCACUGAGCCUGUUACUGUCAUCAUAAAACAUGCUGUUAAUUCUACUAUUUUAAAGUUCUCUCUUGACCCACCAAUCUAUUAUGACUCCGCUUAGUUUUUACCUUUCCUAUAGAAAAACCCCUCAAAAGAGUUUUCUUUACCUUUCCUAUUCUGAUCAUUCACCCCAUUUCAGUCUGACUUUUGCCUCUACCACUUUUCCAAAAUGGCUCUUGUCAAAAUCACUAAUGUCUUUCUUGCUGCUAAAGCCAAUUUUUUGCUAAAGCUAAGAUUUAAAAACUAUUUGCAGACUUUUUUCAUAGCUCAUCACUCACUGUCUUUGACAUACUUUUGUUUUGUUUUGUUUUUAUUUCCAAGAUAGUAUAUUUUUCUGAUUUCUUUCCUUUCUACAGGCCAGUCUUUCUUAGAAUUCCUUGCAUUUCAUCCUCUGCCCCGACUCCUAAUUGUUUGAACCUCAAGGUUCAAAUCUUAUACUCUCUCUUCUCUCCACCUUGGCCAUCUCAUUUAGUGUCUUGGCUUUAAAUACCAUCUAUAUGGUAUUUAGUAUCUAUAUCUCAGAAUCUCCAGACUAGGAGUCUCAGCUCUAGAUCCAUAUAUCUAACUACUUUUUCAGUGUUUCCACUUGGAUAGUUAAUAGGUAUCACAAAUUUGACGUAUCAAGAACUAAAUUCCUGACUUUUUCCCCCUCAAAUCUGUUCUUCUCACUGUCUCCUCCCCGUUAAACAUAUGCUGUAGCUGCACUGACCUUGCUAUCCCUCAAAGCUGGCAGAUAUGCUCUUGCUUUGAGUCCCUUGGACCUGCAGUUUCCUCUGCAUAGCUAACACACUUCUCAUGUAUUCAGAUGAUUCACUCGCUCACUUUCUUAGGUUUCUGCUUAAGUGUCACCUUACCUGCCAGUGUCCACUUACCUAAAUUGUCACCUUCCAUGAUCAUACAACAUGAAAGAGAAACCCUUCAUCCUCACCUCGUACUUCUCCAUAUUCCUUUAGCCUCUGCUUUAAAACUUUUCGGUGGUUUCCUGUGUAACCCAGUGUGGCAUAAUACAAAAACGUGCUUGCUGUUUGUCCCCUGUUGUUGGCACAGAGCUCCUAAAGCCUUGGAAUUUCCUAAGAAAUAGGAAUGCUCCUUUCAGUCAUACCUGAGUUUAUGCUGUUGAGGUGACUUAGGUGGGAACCCCUAGAGAGCUUAAGGUUCAUGAUCCUGGUCCAAAAAGGCCAAGUGCUUAGAGGAUUAGAACUUUUGUCCCUACCCACUGACCUCUAGGUUUGGGAGAGGAUGAGGUAGCUUGAGCUCUGUAAAAACUCUUAAGAGAGUUUUUGAUGAGUUUUGAUGAGCUCCCAGAUUGGUGAACACAUAGACUUACUGGGAGGGUAGCUCAGAGGCAUGGAAGUUUUGCACGCGCACCCCAAUACCUAUCCUGUGCAUCUCCUCCUUUUGUCUGUUUUUGAGUUGGACCCUUUGCAUAAACACAAAGUGUUUUCCUGAGUUCUAUAAGUCAUUCUAGCAAAUUAUCAAACCUGAGAAGGAAGUUGUGGGAACCCCUGUUUAUAGCCAGUCAGUACAGGUAACCCAAGGCUUGAAACUGGCAUCUGAAGUGGGAGCAGUCCUGUGUGACUGAACCCUUAAUCUGUGGAUUCUACUCCAAUUCUAGAUAAUAUCAAAAUUGAAUUGGGCACCCAGUUGAUGCUGGAGACUUGGAGAGUUGGCUGGUGUGGGAAAACAUUUGACUCAGAAAAGCCAAAAUUUUAAUAAUAGGUCCCUAAUUCUCCUUUUGUUGUGGUUUAGUCACUAAGUCAUGUCCGACUCUUUGCAACUCCAUGGACUUCCCAACACAGAUAUUGAACCUGCGUCUCCUGCUGGGAAGGUGAAUUCUUUACCAGUGAGCCACCUGGGAAGACCCGAUUCUCCUUUUCCCUACUAGAUAAUCUUCCUUGUUGUUUCCUGUUGUUUUGUGGUGGCACUGGGCCUUACUGCAUCAGGGCCUUUGCAUUUAGUAUUCUCAAUGCCUGGAAUUCUUUUCACCCUCCCCCUUCAAAAAAAAAAAAAGGCUUGAUUUGCUCCUUCCCCACUUUAACUUUUGCUGAAACUUCAGUGAGACCUUCUGUACCUGUCUCUCUUCAAAAAUGAGCAGUCCCAAUUUUGUGACACCUGUCUCAAUUUUCUAGUUUUCCUCCAUAUUGCUUUAUUAUCGGCAGACUAUACUUUGCUGAUGCAUUUUUUCCUCUCCUAUGAGAAUGUUAACACCCGAAGGAGAGAGAUUUUUGUCGUUUUCUUUUCUUUCUUCGAAUAUUACAUCCCCAGUAUUUAGGACAGUGCAGAGCUUAUUAGGCUCUCAAUAAAUACGUUGGGUGAAUGAAUAAAUGAAUGGAAAAUAAGUGCAAAUAAAUUAUUCAUAAUGAAGCUCAGAAAGGUAACAGGAUAGUAAAUGCUAUAGAGAGCUUAAGAAACAUGAAAAAUAAAAUAAGAAGGUCUAGUAUGAUGAGUUCCAGAGGUUAAAAUAGAAUAGGGAAAAAGCAAUAUUGAUUACUACAUUGAAAAAGACAACCCAGUAGAAAAAUGAACAAAAGAUAUGAACAGAAAUUUUGCACAAGCAGAAAGACAAGUGUUUUAUAAAACAUUAGAACUUUGUACCUGAUUAGUGCAAAAAAAAAAAAAAAAAUCAGAUAUCCUUUACAAUCUGUUCUCUGUAUUCAUGAACUUGGGUUUGUUGUUGUUUUGUUCUGUUUAGACUACACAUGAAAGUGAGAUCAUAUGGUAUUUAUCUUUCUUUGACUUAUUUCACUUAGCACAAUGUCCUCAAGUUCCAUCCAUGUUGCAAAUGGCCAGAUUUUUUUUCCCAUUACUGGGUGUAUUGUGUAUAUAUCCCACAUCUUCUUUAUUCAUCCUUCAAUUGAUACUUAGGUCACUUCCAUACUUGGUUAUUGUAAAUAAUACUGCAAUGAGCAUGGGGCUACAUAUAUCUAUAAGUUAGUAUAUUUGUUUUCUUCAGGUGAAUACCAAAAAGUGAAAUUGCUGGCUUUUGUGGUAGUUCUAUUUUAAAGUUUUUCUGUAACCACCAUACUCUUCUCCAUAGUGGGUGCACCAAUUUACAGUCCACCAACAGUGCACAAGGGUUUUCUUUUCUCUAUAUCCUCACCAACACUUGUUACUCUGGUCUUUUUGAUAAUAGCCAUUCUAACAGGUGUGACAUGAUAUCUCAUUAUAGAUUUG